GCAGGCUUAACACAUGCAAGUCGAGGGGCAUCAGGAAGAAAGCUUGCUUUCUUUGCUGGCGACCGGCGCACGGGUGAGUAACACGUAUCCAACCUGCCCUUUACUCGGGGAUAGCCUUUCGAAAGAAAGAUUAAUACCCGAUAGCAUAAUGAUUCCGCAUGGUUUCAUUAUUAAAGGAUUCCGGUAAAGGAUGGGGAUGCGUUCCAUUAGGUUGUUGGUGGGGUAACGGCCCACCAAGCCUUCGAUGGAUAGGGGUUCUGAGAGGAAGGUCCCCCACAUUGGAACUGAGACACGGUCCAAACUCCUACGGGAGGCAGCAGUGAGGAAUAUUGGUCAAUGGGCGCUAGCCUGAACCAGCCAAGUAGCGUGAAGGAUGAAGGCUCUAUGGGUCGUAAACUUCUUUUAUAUAAGAAUAAAGUGCAGUAUGUAUACUGUUUUGUAUGUAUUAUAUGAAUAAGGAUCGGCUAACUCCGUGCCAGCAGCCGCGGUAAUACGGAGGAUCCGAGCGUUAUCCGGAUUUAUUGGGUUUAAAGGGAGCGUAGGUGGACUGGUAAGUCAGUUGUGAAAGUUUGCGGCUCAACCGUAAAAUUGCAGUUGAUACUGUCAGUCUUGAGUACAGUAGAGGUGGGCGGAAUUCGUGGUGUAGCGGUGAAAUGCUUAGAUAUCACGAAGAACUCCGAUUGCGAAGGCAGCUCACUGGACUGCAACUGACACUGAUGCUCGAAAGUGUGGGUAUCAAACAGGAUUAGAUACCCUGGUAGUCCACACAGUAAACGAUGAAUACUCGCUGUUUGCGAUAUACAGUAAGCGGCCAAGCGAAAGCAUUAAGUAUUCCACCUGGGGAGUACGCCGGCAACGGUGAAACUCAAAGGAAUUGACGGGGGCCCGCACAAGCGGAGGAACAUGUGGUUUAAUUCGAUGAUACGCGAGGAACCUUACCCGGGCUUAAAUUGCAGUGGAAUGAUGUGGAAACAUGUCAGUGAGCAAUCACCGCUGUGAAGGUGCUGCAUGGUUGUCGUCAGCUCGUGCCGUGAGGUGUCGGCUUAAGUGCCAUAACGAGCGCAACCCUUAUCUUCAGUUACUAACAGGUCAUGCUGAGGACUCUGGAGAGACUGCCGUCGUAAGAUGUGAGGAAGGUGGGGAUGACGUCAAAUCAGCACGGCCCUUACGUCCGGGGCUACACACGUGUUACAAUGGGGGGUACAGAAGGCAGCUAGCGGGUGACCGUAUGCUAAUCCCAAAAUCCUCUCUCAGUUCGGAUCGAAGUCUGCAACCCGACUUCGUGAAGCUGGAUUCGCUAGUAAUCGCGCAUCAGCCACGGCGCGGUGAAUACGUUCCCGGGCCUUGUACACACCGCCCGUCAAGCCAUGGGAGCCGGGGGUACCUGAAGUACGUAACCGCAAGGAUCGUCCUAGGGUAAAACUGGUGACUGGGG
This 1435-nucleotide ribosomal RNA is filed under the name uncultured organism. RNAcentral describes it as "16S ribosomal RNA". It matches the Rfam family "Bacterial small subunit ribosomal RNA". The record is from RNAcentral.